Non-coding RNA from Equus caballus (horse), 749 nucleotides. The record is from the annotation of a RefSeq genome assembly. Lineage: Eukaryota; Metazoa; Chordata; Mammalia; Perissodactyla; Equidae.
AUGGCAGAGCUCAGAUAUGAUGUGUGCUCAGUGAUUCUGGUGGAACAUGCUGACUGUGAGAACAAAAUUUGCCUGGACCCAAGACUUUGCACCCUCCAGAACAGGGGCAAAGCCACCCAGCAACUGGGCAAGGAGUCAUGGAGAGACAAUGGGGAGCUCUGCUGGGGCUUCUGUGGGUCCAGAUUUACUGGGUUCGAGGGGUGAAUGUGAAGCAAAAUCCUCCAGCCCUGAGCCUCCAGGAGGGAACCAGUUCUACUCUGAGUUGCAAUUUUUCUACCACCGUGUACAGUGUGCAGUGGUUCAGACAGAAUCCUGGGGGCAGCCUCAUCAGUCUGUUUUUCAUGACUUCAGUGAUGAGGCAGAAUGGAAGGUUAAACUGCACACUGAAUUCUAAGGAACUGUAUAGUACCCUGUACAUCAUGGCCUCCCAACCAGAAGAUUCAGCCACCUACCUCUGUGCAGUGGAGGCACAGUGCUCCCAGGUGGUCUGCAGCCUGUGCUCAAACUGCAGCUGGGCCUGCAGCCCCACCCCUUCCAUGGGGCCAGCAUGGUGUCCCCACAGUAGCCUUUGCACAGCAAGCUGGGGCAAUCUGGAGAUAGCAGAUAAGCUUGUUCAUAAAGCACUGCAAAAUAAAAGUAUAUACAUGGACAUUGCAAUAAAACAUAUCAGAGAAAUAUUAGAAUUCUCAGAAAGUUUAGAAACUCUUGUUUUAAAAAUUGCUCAAGCAUUGGAAAGCAAAUGUCCAUAG